RNAcentral lists this unclassified non-coding RNA (349 nucleotides) under soil metagenome. Its description in RNAcentral is "partial contains 5.8S ribosomal RNA, internal transcribed spacer 2, and large subunit ribosomal RNA". The stretch from base 1 to 120 matches the Rfam family "5.8S ribosomal RNA", at positions 35 to 154 of the family's 154-position model. The record is from RNAcentral.
GAUGAAGAACGCAGUGAAAUGCGAUAAGUAAUGUGAAUUGCAGAAUUCAGUGAAUCAUCGAAUCUUUGAACGCACAUUGCGCCCCCUGGUAUUCCGGGGGGCAUGCCUGUUCGAGCGUCAUUUCAACCCUCAAGCUCUGCUUGGUAUUGGGCGUCGCCGGGGAGUCUCCCCGGCGUGCCUCAAAGCCAUCGGCGGUGGUGCCUUUCUCUAAGCGUGGUAGAAUUUUUAUUCGCUUCUGAGUUGGGCUUCGCCUGCCGGACAAACCGGGCCCUCGCGGCCCACCUUCUCAGGUUGACCUCGGAUCAGGUAGGGAUACCCGCUGAACUUAAGCAUAUCAAUAAGCGGAGGA